UACGUAGGGGGCAAGCGUUGUCCGGAUUUAUUGGGCGUAAAGAGCGUGUAGGCGGCCAGGUAGGUCCGUUGUGAAAACUCGAGGCUUAACCUCGAGACGUCGAUGGAAACCAUCUGGCUAGAGUCCGGAAGAGGAGAGUGGAAUUCCUGGUGUAGCGGUGAAAUGCGCAGAUAUCAGGAGGAACACCGGUGGCGAAGGCGGAUCUCUGGGCCAUUACUGACGCUGAGGAGCGAAAGCGUGGGGAGCGAACAGG
RNAcentral lists this ribosomal RNA (253 nucleotides) under uncultured bacterium. RNAcentral's name for it is "partial 16S ribosomal RNA". It matches the Rfam family "Bacterial small subunit ribosomal RNA", at positions 524 to 776 of the family's 1533-position model. The record is from RNAcentral.